RNAcentral lists this ribosomal RNA (253 nucleotides) under uncultured bacterium. Its description in RNAcentral is "partial 16S ribosomal RNA". It matches the Rfam family "Bacterial small subunit ribosomal RNA", at positions 524 to 776 of the family's 1533-position model. The record is from RNAcentral.
UACGGAGGGUGCGAGCGUUGUCCGGAAUCAUUGGGCGUAAAGGGCGCGUAGGCGGCGCGGGAAGUCAUCGGUGAAAGUUCAGGGCUCAACUCUGAAUCGGCCGGUGAUACUCUCGUGCUUGAGCACUGUAGAGGCAGGUGGAAUUCCGGGUGUAGCGGUGGAAUGCGUAGAGAUCCGGAAGAACACCGGUGGCGAAGGCGGCCUGCUGGGCAGUAGCUGACGCUGAUGCGCGACAGCGUGGGGAGCAAACAGG